This 665-nucleotide ribosomal RNA is filed under the name uncultured archaeon. RNAcentral's name for it is "bacterial SSU rRNA". It matches the Rfam family "Archaeal small subunit ribosomal RNA", at positions 82 to 745 of the family's 1478-position model. The record is from RNAcentral.
CUUACUGCUCAGUAACACGUGGAUAACCUGCCCUUGGGUCCGGCAUAACCCCGGGAAACUGGGGAUAGUUCCGGAUAACGCAUAUAUGCUGGAAUGCUUUAUGCGUAAAAUGGAUUCGUCUGCCCAAGGAUGGGUCUGCGGCCUAUCAGGUAGUAGUGGGUGUAAUGUACCUACUAGCCGACGACGGGUACGGGUUGUGAGAGCAAGAGCCCGGAGAUGGAUUCUGAGACAUGAAUCCAGGCCCUACGGGGCGCAGCAGGCGCGAAAACUUUACAAUGCGGGAAACCGUGAUAAGGGGACACCGAGUGCCAGCAUCAUAUGCUGGCUGUCCGGGUGUGUAAAAUACACCUGUUAGCAAGGGCCGGGCAAGACCGGUGCCAGCCGCCGCGGUAACACCGGCGGCCCGAGUGGUGAUCGUGAUUAUUGGGUCUAAAGGGUCCGUAGCCGGUUUGGUCAGUCCUCCGGGAAAUCUGACGGCUCAACCGUUAGGCUUUCGGGGGAUACUGCCAGGCUUGGAACCGGGAGAGGUAAGAGGUACUACAGGGGUAGGAGCGAAAUCUUGUAAUCCCUGUGGGACCACCUGUGGCGAAGGCGUCUUACCAGAACGGGUUCGACGGUGAGGGACGAAAGCUGGGGGCACGAACCGGAUUAGAUACCCGGGUAGU